This 459-nucleotide ribosomal RNA is filed under the name Triticum aestivum (bread wheat). RNAcentral describes it as "partial small subunit ribosomal RNA". The record is from RNAcentral. Lineage: Eukaryota; Viridiplantae; Streptophyta; Magnoliopsida; Poales; Poaceae.
GAUGAGCACAUCCCAGGUUCACCUCGUUUAUCAUCUUAUCCUCAUGAUAAAUCUCAUUUAUCGAAUGAAGCUUCUACAAAGAAGACCUAUUUAGGUCCCAUGACAAGGAGUCAUGGCAAACAAAUAGAAAAAGAGGUGAACAUGAUCCUAGCUGAUCGUAAUUAACCUAUCCAUGAGAACUUUAUACUACCUAAAUCUUGUGUGCUGAUUUUACUCAGGUACAAUGUUGAGGACAACCAACAAUUUUCAGCACAUGAAGAAACAAGUUCAGCUCAUGAAAAUUCGUCCCAGAACUUGCUGCAUCAUGCAACACAAAUAUAUGAGUAUCCAAGACGUGAGGGGGUACAAAAUGGACAACAUAUGAAGUCUACUUUCAGGAAAAUCAAACAUUGCAUCAUUUGGAGUCCUGAGUCAAACGGUAUGAGAGUUCCAAUGCAAGUUGUCCAGAGCAUUAAUUGA